CCUACGGGGGGCUGCAGUGGGGAAUAUUGGACAAUGGGGGCAACCCUGAUCCAGCCAUGCCGCGUGUGUGAAGAAGGCCCUCGGGUUGUAAAGCACUUUCAGUGAGGAAGAACGCCUGGUGGUUAAUACCCAUCAGGAAAGACAUCACUCACAGAAGAAGCACCGGCUAACUCCGUGCCAGCAGCCGCGGUAAUACGGAGGGUGCGAGCGUUAAUCGGAAUUACUGGGCGUAAAGCGCGCGUAGGUGGCUUGAUAAGCCGGUUGUGAAAGCCCCGGGCUCAACCUGGGAACGGCAUCCGGAACUGUCAAGCUAGAGUGCAGGAGAGGAAGGUAGAAUUCCCGGUGUAGCGGUGAAAUGCGUAGAAAUCGGGAGGAAUACCAGUGGCGAAGGCGGCCUUCUGGACUGACACUGACACUGAGGUGCGAAAGCGUGGGUAGCAAACAGGAUUAGAUACCCCAGUAGUC
Molecule: ribosomal RNA, 465 nt
Filed under: Vreelandella stevensii
Lineage: Bacteria; Pseudomonadati; Pseudomonadota; Gammaproteobacteria; Oceanospirillales; Halomonadaceae
Description: partial 16S ribosomal RNA
Rfam family: Bacterial small subunit ribosomal RNA
Source: RNAcentral